GUCGAGCGGUAACAGAAAGUAGCUUGCUACUUUGCUGACGAGCGGCGGACGGGUGAGUAAUGCUUGGGAACAUGCCUUGAGGUGGGGGACAACAGUUGGAAACGACUGCUAAUACCGCAUAAUGUCUACGGACCAAAGGGGGCUUCGGCUCUCGCCUUUAGAUUGGCCCAAGUGGGAUUAGCUAGUUGGUGAGGUAAUGGCUCACCAAGGCGACGAUCCCUAGCUGGUUUGAGAGGAUGAUCAGCCACACUGGGACUGAGACACGGCCCAGACUCCUACGGGAGGCAGCAGUGGGGAAUAUUGCACAAUGGGCGCAAGCCUGAUGCAGCCAUGCCGCGUGUGUGAAGAAGGCCUUCGGGUUGUAAAGCACUUUCAGUCAGGAGGAAAGCGUGGUGGUUAAUACCCAUCAGGUGUGACGUUACUGACAGAAGAAGCACCGGCUAACUCCGUGCCAGCAGCCGCGGUAAUACGGAGGGUGCGAGCGUUAAUCGGAAUUACUGGGCGUAAAGCGUACGCAGGCGGUUUGUUAAGCGAGAUGUGAAAGCCCCGGGCUCAACCUGGGAACUGCAUUUCGAACUGGCAAACUAGAGUGUGAUAGAGGGUGGUAGAAUUUCAGGUGUAGCGGUGAAAUGCGUAGAGAUCUGAAGGAAUACCGAUGGCGAAGGCAGCCACCUGGGUCAACACUGACGCUCAUGUACGAAAGCGUGGGGAGCAAACGGGAUUAGAUACCCCGGUAGUCCACGCCGUAAACGAUGUCUACUAGAAGCUCGGAGCCUCGGUUCUGUUUUUCAAAGCUAACGCAUUAAGUAGACCGCCUGGGGAGUACGGCCGCAAGGUUAAAACUCAGAUGAAUUGACGGGGGCCCGCACAAGCGGUGGAGCAUGUGGUUUAAUUCGAUGCAACGCGAAGAACCUUACCUACACUUGACAUACAGAGAACUUACCAGAGAUGGUUUGGUGCCUUCGGGAACUCUGAUACAGGUGCUGCAUGGCUGUCGUCAGCUCA
RNAcentral lists this ribosomal RNA (1005 nucleotides) under Pseudoalteromonas sp. Its description in RNAcentral is "bacterial SSU rRNA". It matches the Rfam family "Bacterial small subunit ribosomal RNA", at positions 61 to 1062 of the family's 1533-position model. The record is from RNAcentral. Lineage: Bacteria; Pseudomonadati; Pseudomonadota; Gammaproteobacteria; Alteromonadales; Pseudoalteromonadaceae.